GUACUAAGGUAGCACAAUAAAUUGCCUUAUAAUUGAAGGAUCGAAUGAAUGAAUCUACGACGUUUCUAAAACCUUUAAACAUAUAUAAUAAUAAAUUUAUCUUAAAGUAAAAAAGCUUUAAUAAAAAAAGAAGACGACAAGACCCUAACGAACUUAACUAUUAGUUUAACUGGGGUAGUAAAACAAUAAAAAUUUAAAUAAUUACAUAUAAUAUGAUCGAAUAAAAUUCAACAAAAAUCAAGUUACCGUAGGGAUAACAGCAUAAUUUUAUAUAAAAGUACUUAUUUAAUAUAAAAAUUAUGACCUCGAUGUUGAAUUAAUAAUCUAUAUAAAGAAACAUUUAUAUAAGAAGGUCUGUUCGACCUUUAAAAAAUUACAUGAU
RNAcentral lists this ribosomal RNA (382 nucleotides) under Scytodes sp. 4 YFL-2022a. Its description in RNAcentral is "partial large subunit ribosomal RNA". The record is from RNAcentral. Lineage: Eukaryota; Metazoa; Arthropoda; Arachnida; Araneae; Scytodidae.